AGCGAACGCUGGCGGCAGGCCUAACACAUGCAAGUCGAACGAACCUUUCGGGGUUAGUGGCGGACGGGUGAGUAACACGUGGGAACGUGCCUUUAGGUUCGGAAUAACUCAGGGAAACUUGUGCUAAUACCGAAUGUGCCCUUCGGGGGAAAGAUUUAUCGCCUUUAGAGCGGCCCGCGUCUGAUUAGCUAGUUGGUUGAGGUAAUGGCUCACCAAGGCGACGAUCAGUAGCUGGUCUGAGAGGAUGAUCAGCCACAUUGGGACUGAGACACGGCCCAAACUCCUGCGGGAGGCAGCAGUGGGGAAUCUUUCGAAAUGGGCGAAAGCCUGACAAAUCCAUGCCGCGGGAAUGAUGAAGGUCUUAGGAUUGUAAAAUUCUUUCGCCGGGGACGAUAAUGACGGUACCCUGAGAAGAAGCCCCGGCUAACUACGUG
This 434-nucleotide ribosomal RNA is filed under the name uncultured bacterium. RNAcentral's name for it is "partial 16S ribosomal RNA". It matches the Rfam family "Bacterial small subunit ribosomal RNA", at positions 29 to 507 of the family's 1533-position model. The record is from RNAcentral.